Hordeum vulgare subsp. vulgare (domesticated barley) is the source of this 976-nucleotide long non-coding RNA. RefSeq lists it as uncharacterized. The transcript is spliced from 7 exons. NCBI's taxonomy places the organism in Eukaryota, Viridiplantae, Streptophyta, Magnoliopsida, Poales, Poaceae. The record is from RefSeq and is a predicted model, not a curated record.
CCCGCCGCUCGCCGCGACCCCUCCCCCCGCUCGCCGCGACUCCUCCCCCCGCUCGCCGCGCCUACUGAUCCACGAGCAUAUAGCCAGCGGCUCUUCCCCUGAGUCGAACUGUCACACGAAGAGGCUGCCCCCAUCCUCCACCCCUCCACUCGGUGGAGAAGACCAUCUGUGAUAUCAAACUAGCAAGAAAAACAUAACUAUAGUGUGGAGGAAGUAGAGGGAUUAGCCUUGCUGCAGGGUCUAAACUAGCAAGAAAAACAGAGCUAUAGUGCCAAGAUUGAAUUGAACCAAUUUCACCGAUUCCUCUACUGGAGUUCGUGGAGGUUCAUGUGUAAGCGCAGUGCUGGGCCAACCCUGACAAGGAGGUGCUGGGGAUCUUACAAGCUGAAUCCAAGGCCAAGCAGCCGAAUUGCAGCGAGAAGGAGGCAACGAGGACACCGACGCCAAGCCGACGACCAGGGUGGACACCAGCUCAAUCUCCGGUCAUUUCUUCCUCUGGCUUGCAGCCCAAAGCAAAUGCCUAAGAUGAAUGUCGAAUGUCAGGCGAUGGACGCGGUGGUGCUCACUUACGCGACAUGUGCUCUCUGUUGAAACAAUCAGGUCAGCUCCUACUGGCUCCCGGAUCUCAGGUGCAUCAAGGGUUGUCCAUCUUCAUUUGUGCCUUCCAAUGUUUUUGUGGUUACAAUUGAAGACGCAUGUGAUCAUGGUGGGGUGCAAGUUGGACUUGAGGGAUGACCAACAGAACAGACUUAAGCAAACGAGGGCACCCAGCAUGCAGUUGUUCCAUGAGAUGGAGACCUCCAUUGAGAUUUGAGUGCUCUACGCUUCGCCAAAUCCAGGUCAAUAAGACCGCAUUGUAUCAAUUUGCAUUGGUAACACGCAAUUAUGUCAAAUCGUUGAUUGUUCACCAUGAAACUGGAAUGCUCAAAAUGCAGAUGCGGCGUUGAUACGUCUCCGUCGUAUCUACUUUUCCGAA